GCUCAAGGCAGGGUCGAUGAUAGACUUGGAUAGUACUGAUGAUGUUGGAUAUACGAGGCAAACUCUUUUGUGGGUAGUUCGAUUUUCGAGACAACUGGAUGUGGGCGUAGCACUAGAGCAUUAUAGCUACACAAUUCGUAAACGUAGAUCAGCAUGGCCAACUUUUGCCUUGUUUUUCUCAAAGAGUUCUUGGAGGGCCAAAACAAACUGAGUAUGAACUUCAUUGAUCUCUUCGAUGGU
Molecule: unclassified non-coding RNA, 240 nt
Filed under: Hevea brasiliensis (rubber tree)
Lineage: Eukaryota; Viridiplantae; Streptophyta; Magnoliopsida; Malpighiales; Euphorbiaceae
Source: RNAcentral